This 498-nucleotide ribosomal RNA is filed under the name uncultured bacterium. RNAcentral describes it as "bacterial SSU rRNA". It matches the Rfam family "Bacterial small subunit ribosomal RNA", at positions 9 to 521 of the family's 1533-position model. The record is from RNAcentral.
GAGUUUGAUCGUGGCUCAGAAUCAACGCUGGCGGCGUGCCUCAGACAUGCAAGUCGAACGAUUAAAGCUCUCUUCGGAGAGUGUAUAGAGUGGCGCACGGGUGAGUAACACGUAAGUAAUCUACCCUCGAGUGGGGAAUAACGUCCGGAAACGGACGCUAAUACCGCAUAAUGCAGCGGCACCGCAAGGUGACAGUUGUUAAAGAUUUAUCGCUUGAGGAGGAGCUUGCGGCAGAUUAGCUAGUUGGUAAGGUAAUGGCUUACCAAGGCUACGAUCUGUAACCGGUCUAAGAGGACGGUCGGUCACACUGACACUGAAUAACGGGUCAGACUCCUACGGGAGGCAGCAGUCGGGAAUUUUGGGCAAUGGGCGAAAGCCUGACCCAGCAACGCCGCGUGAAGGAUGAAGUAUUUCGGUAUGUAAACUUCGAAAGAAUAGGAAGAAUAAAUGACGGUACUAUUUAUAAGGUCCGGCUAACUACGUGCCAGCAGCCGCCGU